This is a long non-coding RNA of Micropterus dolomieu (smallmouth bass), 1370 nucleotides long. RefSeq lists it as uncharacterized. The transcript is spliced from 3 exons. NCBI's taxonomy places the organism in Eukaryota, Metazoa, Chordata, Actinopteri, Centrarchiformes, Centrarchidae. The record is from RefSeq and is a predicted model, not a curated record.
CCUGUGUAGCAGUGUGUCUCGUGUCUCCAGCCUUACUCACCGUGUCUUCCUGUUACCCUGCUCAGUUUUGGAUUCUGGUUUUCACCCUUUUGGAUUUCUGUUGGACAGCCUUUGUUUUGGGACUCUGUCAUCAGCCACUCAGUUUUAUGGCAUAUGCCUAAGGAGGACCAGAAAAGACUCUGAGUACGCAGAAAAGGGCUGCAUGGCAAGAGCUAUUUCUGAAAUGGAUGGACCACUUCAUGAAAUAUGGCUCUCCAAAAAACCCUCUGGUCCUAAUAAUGGACCAGCAUGAAACCACUGUGGCUGCCGGAUCAUUGACAUCUGCAGGGUAAACAAGAUCGAGAUUCUGCUGUUACCCCCACACACAACCCACAUGCUGCAGCCACUGGACAUCAGUGUUUUUAACCCCCUUUGGCACCCUGGCCAGUCGCAUGGACCUGGUGAGAGGAGACAUGGUUGAGGGGAAGAAGCACUUCUCCUCAGUGCUGUAGCAUGCCUGCGAAAAGGCUGUUGUAUCUGAGAAAAUCAUGGCAGGAUUCAGGAAGGCUGGCAUCUAUCUUAUGUCAAGAAAAGUAGUGGCCAUGACACAGCUGCUGUGCCCACCUCCUCGGCCUUCAUGCCCCCACAUCCAUUGUGCCUACCGCUGCAGCGACCGAUCCCUCCUCUGCAAUGCCCACCUGCUCCACUUCAGCUUCCUGGUCACCGCCAACCCAGAGAGAAGACAUUCUGUCUGCCCAACAUGCAACAGAAGCCAAAAUAAUUACCUGGUAGAAACUGGCCUCACUCCCCAAUCUUUGGCAGAUGUCCUCGUCACACCCGCCUUUGGCCAGAAAGCAGGAGGGGUACGGCAUCGGGUGCCCCUACAAGCCCAUGUCAUCACCAGUGAUGAAUAAGUGGCACAUCUUGACAGACUAGAAGCAGAUAAAAAGAACAAGAGAAGAAAAGGGCCAGACAAGGAAAGGCAGCAAAAAUAACGCCUGCAAUGAACGAUGGGAGCUAUUGUGUCAGAGGUGAAUGACUGGAUUCAGGGUCUCCUCUAUGAGGUGUGGUUUCGCAUGGUGUGCGUAGAUGCAGAUUCUGUGUAAAUAGAUCUUUUAAUUGUCAACUUUAUGUGGGGAAAUUAGGGUUUUUGUAUUAAUUAAAUGUGUAUGGUAAUUCACCAAUUUAGCAGAGGUGUGUUCAUUUAUGGUAAAGGAAUCCUCCUCAUGGCUUUACAUGAGCAGUAUUUCUAGCUAUAAAAAUAUAUUAAUGUGAUUUAAAUGUAAUAGUUGCGCACAGCCAUUUUGGACUACCACAUGCUUCAAAUUAAUAUUUGUCAAUUUUAAAAGUGCGUAUAAAUGCUUAUAAAUAAAAAAAUACUUUAUAAUAAU